Molecule: ribosomal RNA, 272 nt
Filed under: uncultured bacterium
Lineage: Bacteria
Description: partial 16S ribosomal RNA
Rfam family: Bacterial small subunit ribosomal RNA
Source: RNAcentral
UACGGAGGGGUUAGCGUUGUUCGGAAUUACUGGCGUAAAGGACGCGCGUAGGCGGAUUGGAAAGUUGGGGUGAAAUCCCGGGGCUCAACCCGGAACUGCCUCCAAAACUUCCAGUCUGGAGUUCGAGAGAGGUGAGUGGAAUUCCGAGUGUAGAGGUGAAAUUCGUAGAUAUUCGGAGGAACACCAGUGGCGAAGGCGGCUCAACUGGCUCGAUACUGACGCUGAGGUGCGAAAGUGUGGGGAGCAAAACAGGAUUAGAUACCCCCCGUAGU